RNAcentral lists this ribosomal RNA (387 nucleotides) under uncultured bacterium. RNAcentral's name for it is "bacterial SSU rRNA". It matches the Rfam family "Bacterial small subunit ribosomal RNA", at positions 93 to 507 of the family's 1533-position model. The record is from RNAcentral.
UAGUGGCGGACGGGUGAGUAACACGUUGGAACCUGCCCCAAAGUGAGGAAUAAGCCACCGAAAGGUGGUCUAAAUACUUCAUAAUAUCCAUCUCGUAUGGAUUAAAAGCUUUAUGCGCUUUGGGAGGGGCCUGCGUAACAUUAGCUUGUGGUGAGGUAAAAGCUCACCAAGGCUUCGAUGUUUAACUGGUUUGAGAGGAUGACCAGUCACACUGGGACUGAGAUACGGCCCAGACUCCUACGGGAGGCAGCAGUAAGGAAUCUUCCACAAUGGGGCAACCCUGAUGGAGCAAUACCGCGUGCAGGAUGAAGCGUUUCGGCGUGUAAACUGCUUUUAUCACCGAAGAUUAUGACUGUAGGUGAAGAAUAAGGACCGGCUAACUACGUG